RNAcentral lists this long non-coding RNA (637 nucleotides) under Triticum aestivum (bread wheat). Its description in RNAcentral is "long non-coding RNA (TAES_LNC014590)". The record is from RNAcentral. Lineage: Eukaryota; Viridiplantae; Streptophyta; Magnoliopsida; Poales; Poaceae.
GGAUAAUACUUCUAUCCAGCAAGAAGCGCUUGGGCUGGGAGCUCGAGCUCAAGUAGAAUGUCAAAAACAGGGGCUCUAUCUGCUAAUGGGGUAGCCGGCAAUGUAGCUGGCUACUGCUCAUGUGAUUUCUGGAUAUGAGAGGAUGAGAACUUGAGAAGAAUAAGCUUGAUGCUAUGAUUGCAAAAAAAUUGUACUACAGGUAUUCCUUUCAGUACUGUUGCAGCAAACCUUAAUUGGCUACUUUUUUAUGAACUGGUUGUGAUUGAUUUGUGAACUUUAGAGCUUGUGAGUUGUAAUUUGUGAUUUCAUAGGAUGCUUGAAGGUCAAUACAAGGCUAUAUUAAAUGUAUCCACAUAUCUGUGCUUUGAGACGAGGGACAACCCUGAGAACUAGCUUCAGGUUCCAUAAAAAGUCCAAAUAAUCAUACUAAUGUUUCAGAUUUUUAGUUAAGCAUUGUAGAAUUCUUGCAAACAUAGGUGUAUAUUUAAUCUUCAUCCUCUGAACCAGGUGAGAGUGGAGACACACCAUACACAGGCUCUGCAAGUGGGCGGAAAUAGAGCUCUUCGCCGAUGACUUCUACGAGGACGAUAUUGACCUAGAGGCUGGAGCUUUGCUACUCUUUCCGGUCAACAACAAG